GCUACGGCCAUACCAGCCUGGGUACGCCCGAUCUCGUCUGAUCUCGGAAGCUAAGCAGGGUCGGUCCUGGUUAGUACUUGGAUGCGAGACCGCCUGGGAAUACCAGGUGCUGUAAGCA
Molecule: ribosomal RNA, 118 nt
Filed under: Salmo salar (Atlantic salmon)
Lineage: Eukaryota; Metazoa; Chordata; Actinopteri; Salmoniformes; Salmonidae
Source: RNAcentral